This 467-nucleotide ribosomal RNA is filed under the name uncultured bacterium. RNAcentral describes it as "bacterial SSU rRNA". It matches the Rfam family "Bacterial small subunit ribosomal RNA", at positions 43 to 507 of the family's 1533-position model. The record is from RNAcentral.
CGUGCCUAACACAUGCAAGUCAACUUGACUAGAAGGAGCAAUUCUGACAGUAGAGUGGCGCAAGGGUGCGUAACGCGUAAGUAACUUGCCCCAAGGUAAGGAAUAACGUCGAGAAAUCGGCGCUAAUACCUCAUAAUGCAGCGGAUCCGCAUGGAUAUGUUGUUAAAGGUUUACCGCCUUGGGAUAGGCUUGCGUCUGAUUAGUUAGUUGGUGUGGUAACGGCACACCAAGGCUACGAUCAGUAACUGGUCUGAGAGGAUGAUCAGUCACACUGGAACUGAGACACGGUCCAGACUCCUACGGGAGGCAGCAGUGAGGAAUAUUGGGCAAUGCUCGAAAGAGUGACCCAGCAACGCCGCGUGGAGGAUGAAGGUAUUCUAUAUCGUAAACUCCUGUGAGAGCAGACGAAAGACAGAUUAUUAAUCUGGAUGACUGUAUGCUCAGAGGAAGCCCCGGCUAACUACGUG